RNAcentral lists this ribosomal RNA (92 nucleotides) under Dehalococcoidia bacterium. RNAcentral's name for it is "partial 23S ribosomal RNA". It matches the Rfam family "Bacterial large subunit ribosomal RNA", at positions 2832 to 2925 of the family's 2925-position model. Lineage: Bacteria; Bacillati; Chloroflexota; Dehalococcoidia. The record is from RNAcentral.
GACCGCGGGAAGACUACCCGCUUGAUAGGCCAGAGGUGUACGCACAGCAAUGUGUUCAGCUGACUGGUACUAAUGGUCGAGGGCUUGACCUU